CUAGAAUAAAAGUAGAUAAGUCUUCAUAACUCAAAGAAUUUGGCGGCUAAUUUUUUUCAGAGGAACCUGUAUAUUGAUUGAUAAACCACGAUAGUUUUUACUUUUUAUUUAUUUAUAUACCUCUAUAUUUAUGGAAUCUUCUUUUAGGAGAAUUUUCUUUUGAAAUUAAUUAUAAAUUUUAGGUCAAGGUGUAGUUUUUGAAAAUGUUUAUAUGGGUUAUUUUAGUUAAAAUUAUAAUUUAAAAUUAAUUUAAUUAAAUUAAUUUUUUUUAGGAUUUGAUAGUAAAAUUAAUUAAUUAAUUUUUUUGAAUAUA
Molecule: ribosomal RNA, 313 nt
Filed under: Hypsauchenia sp. CPL-2004
Lineage: Eukaryota; Metazoa; Arthropoda; Insecta; Hemiptera; Membracidae
Description: partial 12S small subunit ribosomal RNA
Source: RNAcentral